GGGUGGGGUGACUGCGUACCUUUUGUAUAAUGGGUCAGCGACUUAUAUUCUGUAGCAAGGUUAACCGAAUAGGGGAGCCGGAGGGAAACCGAGUCUUAACCGGGCGUUAAGUUGCAGGGUAUAGACCCGAAACCCGGUGAUCUAGCCAUGGGCAGGUUGAAGGUUGGGUAACACUAACUGGAGGACCGAACCGACUAAUGUUGAAAAAUUAGCGGAUGACCUGUGGCUGGGGGUGAAAGGCCAAUCAAACCGGGAGAUAGCUGGUUCUCCCCGAAAGCUAUUUAGGUAGCGCCUCGUGAAUUCAUCUCCGGGGGUAGAGCACUGUUUCGGCUAGGGGGCCAUCCCGGCUUACCAACCCGAUGCAAACUGCGAAUACCGGAGAAUGUUAUCACGGGAGACACACGGCGGGUGCUAACGUCCGUCGUGAAGAGGGAAACAACCCAGACCGCCAGCUAAGGUCCCAAAGUCAUGGUUAAGUGGGAAACGAUGUGGGAAGGCCCAGACAGCCAGGAUGUUGGCUUAGAAGCAGCCAUCAUUUAAAGAAAGCGUAAUAGCUCACUGGUCGAGUCGGCCUGCGCGGAAGAUGUAACGGGGCUAAACCAU
This 603-nucleotide ribosomal RNA is filed under the name Salmonella enterica subsp. diarizonae. Its description in RNAcentral is "partial 23S ribosomal RNA". It matches the Rfam family "Bacterial large subunit ribosomal RNA", at positions 586 to 1190 of the family's 2925-position model. The record is from RNAcentral. Lineage: Bacteria; Pseudomonadati; Pseudomonadota; Gammaproteobacteria; Enterobacterales; Enterobacteriaceae.